This 484-nucleotide ribosomal RNA is filed under the name uncultured bacterium. RNAcentral describes it as "partial 16S ribosomal RNA". It matches the Rfam family "Bacterial small subunit ribosomal RNA", at positions 30 to 507 of the family's 1533-position model. The record is from RNAcentral.
AUUGAACGCUAGCGGGAUGCUUUACACAUGCAAGUCGAACGGCAGCGCGGACUUCGGUCUGGCUGCGAGUGGCGAACGGGUGAGUAAUGUAUCGGAACGUGCCCAGUAGCGGGGGAUAACUACGCGAAAGCGUAGCUAAUACCGCAUACGCCCUACGGGGGAAAGCAGGGGAUCGUAAGACCUUGCACUCUUGGAGCGGCCGAUAUCGGAUUAGCUAGUUGGUGAGGUAACGGCUCACCAAGGCGACGAUCCGUAGCUGGUUUGAGAGGACGACCAGCCACACUGGGACUGAGACACGGCCCAGACUCCUACGGGAGGCAGCAGUGGGGAAUUUUGGACAAUGGGGGCAACCCUGAUCCAGCCAUCCCGCGUGUGCGAUGAAGGCCUUCGGGUCGUAAAGCACUUUUGGCAGGAAAGAAACGUCGCGGGCUAAUACCCCGUGGAACUGACGGUACCUGCAGAAUAAGCACCGGCUAACUACGUG